This 253-nucleotide ribosomal RNA is filed under the name uncultured bacterium. Its description in RNAcentral is "partial 16S ribosomal RNA". It matches the Rfam family "Bacterial small subunit ribosomal RNA", at positions 524 to 776 of the family's 1533-position model. The record is from RNAcentral.
UACAGAGGGUGCAAGCGUUAAUCGGAUUUACUGGGCGUAAAGGGCGCGUAGGUGGUUGUUUAAGUGAACUGUGAAAUCCCCGGGCUCAACCUGGGAAUGGCAAUGGAUACUGGACGGCUAGAGUGUGUCAGAGGAUGGUGGAAUUUCCGGUGUAGCGGUGAAAUGCGUAGAUAUCGGGAGGAACACCUGUGGCGAAGGCGGUUCUCUGGGCCUGUUCUGACGCUGAGGAGCGAAAGCGUGGGGAGCGAACAGG